ACCUUUAUUGUCGUGAAGGAAAGGGACUCAUAAUCCGUUGGUCCGGGGUUCGAAUCCCUGAGGGCCCA
RNAcentral lists this transfer RNA (68 nucleotides) under Fidelibacterota bacterium. RNAcentral's name for it is "tRNA-Ile". Lineage: Bacteria; Pseudomonadati; Fidelibacterota. The record is from RNAcentral.